This 253-nucleotide ribosomal RNA is filed under the name uncultured bacterium. RNAcentral describes it as "partial 16S ribosomal RNA". It matches the Rfam family "Bacterial small subunit ribosomal RNA", at positions 524 to 776 of the family's 1533-position model. The record is from RNAcentral.
UACGUAGGGUGCGAGCGUUAAUCGGAAUUACUGGGCGUAAAGCGUGCGUAGGCGGUUGGCCAAGUCAGCUGUGAAAUCCCCGGGCUCAACCUGGGAACUGCAUCUGUGACUGCAUCGCUGGAGUGCGGCAGAGGGGGAUGGAAUUCCGCGUGUAGCAGUGAAAUGCGUAGAUAUGCGGAGGAACACCGAUGGCGAAGGCAAUCCCCUGGGCCUGCACUGACGCUCAUGCACGAAAGCGUGGGGAGCAAACAGG